This is a long non-coding RNA of Mesocricetus auratus (golden hamster), 6067 nucleotides long. RefSeq lists it as uncharacterized. Lineage: Eukaryota; Metazoa; Chordata; Mammalia; Rodentia; Cricetidae. The transcript is spliced from 6 exons. The record is from RefSeq and is a predicted model, not a curated record.
GUAAGAGUCAGGGCACAGAACCCAUGAGUGAGCAACUCCUUUUCAUAAACACGGUAAUUUUUUCUAUUGGCAGAGUGUCAGCCUUUUGAUUGACACACUGAGUGGCAACAGUACAAUAACAUAUGGUGACUAGCUUCCUUAGAAACAGUGUUCACAACGGACACUUUGAAAAUUCAACCUUCUACUUAAAGCAAGAAAAUAUGUAUGCAACUUGGUAUCACACCGGAGAAGAGCAAGAUGCAGGAGAAAAAAUAAGUACACAAGAAAGCACUGUCGAAUUCUGUCUUCUGGGCACAUGAGAAGUCCUGACUGUUGUGAAGAGGUCAGUGUUGGGAGUCGGGCUGCUCGUCUACAGAAUUUCAAAAGAAGUCAGAGGUGGAUAUUGUGGGAGGGGUCAGUCUCUCCCACUGUCCCUCUGACCCCUCCCACUGUCCCUCUGACCCCUCCCACUGUCCUUCUGACCCCCCCCACUGUCCUUCUGACCCCCCCCACUGUCCCUCUGGCCCCUCCCACUGUCCCUCUAUUAAAGACAUUAUGUGAUGAUAUAAAGGUUGGGACACUGGACAAUUGAAGUACCUGUAAAGAAAAUAGUGUGGAUCUGGGGAUGAAGACUUUAGGGGACACUUACUUGGGACAUCUGACAAUCUAGCAUUAAUCAACUACUGUCCUCCAAACACCUACUGUAAGCCCCGACUAGGUGUGAUCAAGCCAUUUCCUAUCUGUGCCUCUGAAAACGGUUCUCUGAAGGCAAGGUUUUAGGACUCAUCUUUGCACUUUUAGUUACUGUGACAAUGUUGAGCCUGUUUGCUGCAGAAAUGCCCUAAGAGCCUGCAAACAGCAGUCAGCUUGCCUUUUGUUUGUGGGCUCCAUUCUUUUACAAUCAAUCUAGAAACCAGAAUGCUGUUUUUCCUAAGCCAGAUGACAAACGCAAUCUAACAUAGCUGACCGAGGCUGCCACAUCUGAAACGGGAAGUAGAAAAAUUCCUGGUGAAAGUGCCCCACAUUAAAACAGAAAGUGGGUAGCAUUGUCUGGGAAAGAUGAAUUCCACUUUGGAUGAGGCUGGGGUGAAGACGUAGCUUUCAUCCCCAGGAGGACAUAACUGGAGGUCUACACAGGAUGGCUAAACCUUUGGAAACUAUAAAUCUCUCUACAAACGGCCAGAUAAAACAUGCGCUGUCUCCUACUCUGAUAAAUUUACACUGUAAAUGACCUGUGAGGCCAGGACCAAAUUACAAGUAUGUGGCCUCCCUAAAGCUUGUGGAACAUGGCAAUACAGAGGGGGCCUCUGGUCCCUCUGGCUCACACCAUCUGAACCUGCCCUAGGAAGGCAGGAGCUGAGAGAAGAGGAGGGCCAUUCAUCUGGGUAGUCAGAAUUUGGAGGAAGGCCUGGCCCCUGGGUCCCCUGUGUACCUCCCCUGGGAGGGCUUGGUCAGGGGCUGAGGGGUUACGUGUGCUUCCCUUCCCCUCCCCUCUCCUUCGUGGUACUGGGCAUGGAUCCAGUACUUUCCCGCUGUGUUCAAUCUCCAGCCCCCUUCUUGAGAGAGGGUCUUACUGAGUAUUCCAGGAUGGUCCUGAGAUCACUGUCUUCAGGUGGCUCUUGAACCUGCAAAGCUCCUGCCUGAGUAGUUGGUUCCUGGCCUGUACUACCGGGUUGCUGAAGUACCUAUUAAAGAGCGGCUCACACAGAGGGGAGAAGCAGAUUCCCAUGCUGCACUGCGCAUCAACAGGAAGCCAGAACACUGGGUGAAUUCUUCACCGCCAAGGCUGUAUUCUGAGUCCAGGGUUUUUCUAAUGCUUUUUUGCAUUUAAAAUGUUUUGGCUAUGGAAUCCUUGCUCCAAAUGAAAAACUGUAUGAAGUCCACUUUGUGCAACACUGUGCAGAAUCAAGGCUGCAGAGCAAACGCCGAGCGGAUGCCAUCACAGCCCAGGGCCGAAUGAAUUAAGAACUGUCUGGAACUGAGGGUAGGAGCUUCAGAUCACGCGGCUACAUCGUAAAGACACCGAGUGAUGCCAGGCUGGCAUUCCACAAACUGUCAUCUACUCAUGAGUCACCUUCUAUUUUCUGGUAAGUUACGGCCUCUCGGUAGUUAUUGCUGGACUGUUUCUUCUUUCAUGAACAAGAAACUGAAAGUACAGACAGACUAAGUGGUUGGGAACAAUGAUGACGUAAGGGCUAGCAAAUAUUUCUAAAUCAAGUAUUUCUUCCAUGGAUGCAGCUGGAAUGUGAGAGGGGACAGACCGAGUCUCAGUUCUUCGUCCUUCCUCCUUUGUACUGUGUGCAACUAUUCCUCCUGUACCCUCAACAUCUAAUUAGAAACACGAAAGGCUCUCACAGAGUAUGCGAUUCUGUCACUCUUAUGUCCUCUACAGAGGGGUCUGUGGCCAGUCAAACCUCAGACGUGGCAAUAUGACAGGGAAGACCUGGAAAGAGCUGAUGAAAUCAAGCGGAUGUGGGGCAGGUCCAAACCCCAACAUGAAAUGAAGGGGACGUUGGGGUGCGGCCAUUUAUACUGAUCCAUGGCUGUCUAGACGUCCACUGGUUGUCUAGACACCCAUUGGCCAUCAGUGGUCGAAAUGAUUUAAAUACACCUUUCUAUAAGGACAAUCAAGAUGCAAUCACACAUGAGGUAUGGGUCAAGAGAGGGAAAGUCUGAAGGGCAGUCCCAGAAUCCUGUGCAGGAAAGACGAUGACUUCUGGCUCCCACAGAAGCCGUGUCAUGUCCGUCACGACGUAACUCAGAAGCAAAGUCUCUUCCCAGAUAUCCCGGAGCAGCCUGUCAUAGUGAGUCUUUGAUUUGGGCUCUGGGAUUCCUGGCAAGUGUAAUAGAGCCCAGAGGAACUCUUGAAUAGUUUCAUGGUCUUCAGUGACCAUGAGGGACAGGAGCGGGAGCCUCUCAUGCUAAGUCAUGUGUUAUUUGCAUUUGGACCACUGUGCAGAGCCUUGUAGCCUCACAGCACACACUGCUGGGUGCUGCUUAUCCAUCACCACUUAGAUCUGAAAGUCUUUUCUGCCAGGGACCCCGGGAGGGCCAACAGGCUGCACCCUUCACAAGGAGCUUAAGUGAAACAGCCGUGGCUGUCCUAGGGUACAGAUGGGGUGACUAAAUGGCAAUGAUUCAAGACUGUCUGAUCUCAGGGGUUACUUUAUCCAGUACAAACUCUAGAGUUCCGAUGUUGGUCUGGGCGUCCUUCACAGUGUCUAUACACACCAUGUCUCUCUGGCAUGUGUGGUGCCCGGGUUGCCCUGUGCAUGGCCAAGCUCAGAUGGGCUCAUACUGGCUGGCAGCACAGCGGCAUGGGGAUGCCCUCCCUAUACGCAGACCUCUGAAAUGGAGGGGUUAAUAGCAAAAUGAAGAACAAGAAGCUGGAAGUGAGCAGAAGGCUGCUGUCUCCCAGAAGUGUCUUCGCGUCAGUUGGGGACCUUUAUCAUCGUCUCUCCAUUGUCCAUGUGGAAAGGGAAUGUGAGGCAGAGAACAGGACAUUGUCAAGUGGUGCACAGACCACGGCUGGUGUCAGUGCUAAGGGGCACCGGGAUGAGGAUACCCAGGGAAACUUGGGAAGACUUCUUCGGUGUUUGUAAGGAACGUCACACAGCUUGUAUGUUGCCUGCUUUUUUCUGUGGGAACCAGAGGUUUAUCAGGCCCAUCAAUUAUGUUACUAUUAGGACAGGGAAGCAGCAGGCCACUCUCCUGGCUGACAGAUGAACUGCUGAGAGCAGGUGUCCAGUGUUCUGGGUGGAGUCUGCUUCCACGGCUCACCCUAGCCCAGCAGUAGUGAUCAAUGAAAUCCUAGACCCCCAGCUCAUGCCAUUACCUUGAACUUCUCCUCAUAGUUCUCGAAGGCCUCCAUGACCAUGCACACCGCCUCCAUUGAGCGCUCCAGUCGGCGAUCCACCCCGUUGAAGCGGUACAUACUGCCAGAAACAUCCACCACAAGGCGCAGGCGCUUGGGCUUCUGCUGUGGGCUACCCAGCUAAGGGAGGGAAUGGCGGAAAAACAUGGUCAGCUGCCAUCCUGGGUUCUUACCCAGGGUCUGCAGGGCCAGCCCAAGUUGGGCAGAUCUGCCCCAGCGGGUAACUGUAUUCAGAAAGUGGCUAUCAGAUCACACUGGCCAUCGGGACCACAUGGGAAGUGCUUCUUCUGGAAUAUAUUAAAAGCAGCCUUCUGGGGCUGACUGCUUAAAGACAGCGCUUUAAACAUACAAAUCUAGAAGGAUAGAAGCCCAUGUCAUUUACUCUAUGCCUCAGCACCCCCUCCCCUGGAAAGAGAGAGUGUGUAACUGGAGGAGAGUCCACAUCAGUUUCACGUGAAGAACAUUUUCUACCUAGGCUGAAGAAAUGCCAGACUGCCAAGACACGGUUACAUGAGAGGGAGUCUGGCCAAGAGCGUGAGGAAGCAUUUUUAGAAUGGCUCAAUUCUUAACCUUUUUUUUUUUCUUUUGCCAGUGAACUAGUGUUUUUUUUCUUUUCUUGGCAUUGAGCUGCUAUCUGGCAAAAACUACUGAUUUAAAAAUGUGAAACCUUAUGAGAUUGCUUUGGAGCCCAGACCUGCCAAUGUGCAAAAUUUUAAAAAAGUUUGUCAGUAGCAAUAAAUAAGAGAAAUUCCAGAUUAUUCUGUUAUAUACUUGCUGACAUGCAUGAAAAAUAAUGGGCAGAACCAGUAAUUUCCAGAAAAUACUGUAGGGGGCUGGUGAGAUGGCUCAUGAGAUGGCUUGGCAGGUAAGGUUCUCGCCAUCAAGCCUGACAACCUGAGUUCGAGUCCCAGGGCUGUGUGGUGGAAGGAGAGGACUGGACCCCCCCCCCCCCCCCACGUCCUCAGACUUUCAUAUGCCUGCUGUGCCAUGCAUGGCCCCUACAUAUGCACAAGCUAAAUAAAUAAAAACCUGAGAGCCCCACAGAUGCUCAGAGCAUAACGGUAGGAAGAAAUGUCAUAUAUAUUCCUUGAAAACUUGCUGAGUCUGCCCCAAUUAGAAGCAGUGGCACACGGCUGAGACUAAGCCACAGAUGUGUCCAAACACUUACUUACCACAGUGAGUCAGUAAGGAAGCAGCUGUUGACUCAUGGCAACGACACAGAAACGAGAGCCCCCAAAUCACCACCAGACCCACUCUGAGUAAACAUUUCAGACAGCAGCGUCCCUAAUGUCACUCACUGCACCCCCGCCCUCAGCCGCUACCAGAGGAAACCCCAAAGCUCAGUAACAUUCAGUGUUUGACUGCGUUGCCAUAGUAUGGCAAAUGUUUACUUACUAUAAUUAGUGUAACUUAGGGGAGAAUUCUUGUUUUCUAAAAACUAAAGGCAUUUGAUGGACACAGAUUCUUAAAGUUCCAGGAGAGCAGGACCACGAAGAUUGCCCUGAAGACCCCUCUGGGAUUCAUAAACAGCAGUGUCCAUUCCUCCCACCCACAGAACACCACUGUGCCGCAGAAGAGGACCUGUAGGCAGUCACACAGUUCCUGCCUCCAGGUUUCUGCCCCUUUUGGAUUUCUGUCCUGACUUUCUCAAUGAUGAACAGCGCUGCUGAAAUUUGCUGUUUAGGUGACAGUCAACCUUCAUCAGUGUCAGGCCACUGCUCAGCAUGAUGGUGCUUUCUGAACAUCCAAGAAUGUCAGGUCUGAGAGGAAGCCUGUGGCCUUCCCAACUAGCCAAGAAUGACAGGAAAAGCUGGACAGUGGUGGCACACGCCUUUAAUUUCAGUACUAGAGAGGCAGAGGCAGGUGGAUCUCUGAGUUUGAGGCCAGCCUGGUCUACAGAGCAAGUUCCAGGACAGGCUCCAAAGCUACAGAGAAACCCUGUCUCAAAAACAAAACAAAGGAAAAGGAUGAAGCCAAGUCCUGGUCUCUGGCUCGGGGAGGUGGCUUGAGAAGGAUGUCUGUCUGACCUGUGAUCACUCAGUGGGAAGGGAGGCUAGAAGACUUCCCAUCCUCCUACAUCUGUAGCCAUAUAUUUCACCAAGACUCUAUGUGACCUAAGCUUUAUCCCAGCAUACCCUAUUUCCAUGCACCCUUGGAAUUCAGGAACAUACACGUGGGGCAACUGUCCACCAGAAUUAAAAUAUUCAUGCUGGU